This 161-nucleotide non-coding RNA is filed under the name bacterium B13(2017). Its description in RNAcentral is "6S / SsrS RNA". It matches the Rfam family "6S / SsrS RNA". From Rfam's summary of the family: E. coli 6S RNA was the first non coding RNA to be sequenced, but its function was unknown until recently. It consists of 184 nucleotides that fold into an extended hairpin structure with a large single-stranded internal bulge. The 6S RNA specifically associates with RNA polymerase holoenzyme containing the sigma70 specificity factor. The record is from Rfam by way of RNAcentral.
AAAACCCUGUAUUGUUCGUGAACUUAAAUAUUUCCUUGAGCCAACAUUAGUUUAUUGGGGACUUGGGGUUUGGCAGAGACUUAAGUGAUCUUUGUUAACAGAGUGCCCACUUAGAGUCAGAGCUCUAAGCGAAAUGUUAUUACGGCAGAUACAGGGUUUUU